RNAcentral lists this ribosomal RNA (113 nucleotides) under Leucoagaricus croceovelutinus. Its description in RNAcentral is "partial 28S ribosomal RNA". It matches the Rfam family "Eukaryotic large subunit ribosomal RNA", at positions 1 to 112 of the family's 3401-position model. Lineage: Eukaryota; Fungi; Basidiomycota; Agaricomycetes; Agaricales; Agaricaceae. The record is from RNAcentral.
UGACCUCAAAUCAGGUAGGACUACCCCGCUGAACUUAAGCAUAUCAAUAAGCGGAGGAAAAGAAACUAACAAGGAUUCCCCUAGUAACUGCGAGUGAAGCGGGAAAAGCUCAA